AAUUAUAGACCAAUCCAGCAAUGUGGAGAUAGCAUCUUUUCCAAUCUAUAAGGUGUUAUUCUGUGCACGUGGACAUGACGGAACAACAGAGAGCAAUUGCUUUGCAUUUACAGAGAGUUCCCAUGGUUCAGAAGAAUUUCAGAUACAUGUUUUCUCCUGUGAAAUUAAAGAGGCAAGGUGGGGAAGCAGAUGGUAGAAUCCUGGCAUUUCAUGUUGUCAGCCAUCAUUUAACACACCUGUGUGAUUUCCGAAUCACUGGAGCUCAACAGCAAGGAAAUGAGCUUUGAAGACCUGGAGAAUCUGCUGCUUGGAGAGAGAGAAAUGCUGCUGCAGAAGGAAACUGAAUUGCUGCAAGAGGUUUCCAUAACUAAUGAGUUUGUGGAUGAGAGCUGAAGA
This 396-nucleotide small RNA is filed under the name Pongo abelii (Sumatran orangutan). RNAcentral's name for it is "processed transcript". The record is from RNAcentral. Lineage: Eukaryota; Metazoa; Chordata; Mammalia; Primates; Hominidae.